CAGGGUCUGACGACUGCCCAAACCAAACCGUGAACCUUUUUUUCAAGAUUCGACAUGCUUCGGCGAGCCGCCCGCUGGGGGGGCCUUGGGGCCGCGGAGACGCGGCCGGCCCGCCGGAGGCAUGCAAACCAAAACACGCUGAACAACUUUCUGAGAGUUUUUACUUUCCCUCUGGGAAAAAAAUUAGUCA
This 190-nucleotide unclassified non-coding RNA is filed under the name uncultured Sordariomycetes. RNAcentral's name for it is "sequence contains ITS1". Lineage: Eukaryota; Fungi; Ascomycota; Sordariomycetes. The record is from RNAcentral.